This 72-nucleotide transfer RNA is filed under the name Pseudomonadota bacterium. RNAcentral's name for it is "tRNA-Arg". It matches the Rfam family "tRNA". Rfam says of the family: Transfer RNA (tRNA) molecules are approximately 80 nucleotides in length. Their secondary structure includes four short double-helical elements and three loops (D, anti-codon, and T loops). Further hydrogen bonds mediate the characteristic L-shaped molecular structure. tRNAs have two regions of fundamental functional importance: the anti-codon, which is responsible for specific mRNA codon recognition, and the 3' end, to which the tRNAs corresponding amino acid is attached (by aminoacyl-tRNA synthetases). tRNAs cope with the degeneracy of the genetic code in two manners: having more than one tRNA (with a specific anti-codon) for a particular amino acid; and 'wobble' base-pairing, i.e. permitting non-standard base-pairing at the 3rd anti-codon position. The record is from RNAcentral. RNAcentral also lists the same sequence under 1 other name. Lineage: Bacteria; Pseudomonadati; Pseudomonadota.
GCGCCCAUAGCUCAAUGGAUAGAGCGCCGGCCUGCGAAGCCGUAGAUUCGAGUUCGAUUCUCGAUGGGCGCA